Molecule: long non-coding RNA, 206 nt
Filed under: Homo sapiens (human)
Lineage: Eukaryota; Metazoa; Chordata; Mammalia; Primates; Hominidae
Description: HSALNT0154308
Source: RNAcentral
UAUGUAUAUGUGUUUUCUGAGACAGGGUCUGGCUUUGUCGCCCAGGCUGGAGUGCAGUGGCGCCAUCUUGGCUCACUGCAACCCCCAUCUCCAAGAUUCAAGCUAUUCUCAUGCCUCCUCCUCUCAAGUAGCUGGGAAUACAAUAGUGUGCCACCACACCCGGCUGGUCUUGACCUCCUGGCCUCAGGUGAUCUGCCCGCAUUGGC